This 66-nucleotide transfer RNA is filed under the name Physunio superbus. RNAcentral describes it as "tRNA-Ala". The record is from RNAcentral. Lineage: Eukaryota; Metazoa; Mollusca; Bivalvia; Unionida; Unionidae.
GGCUCUAUACUUUAAACACAAAAGAUCUGAUUUGCAAUCAACUAUUGAGCACAAACUCUAGAGCCU